Molecule: small nucleolar RNA, 80 nt
Organism: Balaenoptera musculus (blue whale)
Lineage: Eukaryota; Metazoa; Chordata; Mammalia; Artiodactyla; Balaenopteridae
Gene: SNORD116
Rfam family: Small nucleolar RNA SNORD116
About the family: HBII-85 is a member of the C/D class of snoRNAs, which contain the C (UGAUGA) and D (CUGA) box motifs. HBII-85 is encoded in a tandemly repeated array with another C/D snoRNA, HBII-52, in the Prader-Willi syndrome (PWS) region of chromosome 15.
Source: Ensembl
GGAUUAAUGAUAACUUCACAUAUGUUUCUCAUUGGAAUAUGAACAAAUUGAGUGACAAAAUCAUUUGUCAGCUGAGGUCC